UACGUAGAAUGCAAGCGUUGUCAGGAUUUAUUGGGUUUAAAGGGUGCGUAGGUGGCUUUUUGAGUCAUGGGUGAAAGCCCGCAGCUCAACUGUGGAAUUGCCUGUGAUACUGAGGAGCUUGAGUGCGGUUGAGGCAGCUGGAAUUGGUGGUGUAGCGGUGAAAUGCAUAGAUACCACCAGGAACACCGAUUGCGAAGGCAGGUUGCUAAGCCGUAACUGACACUGAGGCACGAAAGCGUGGGGAGCAAACAGG
Molecule: ribosomal RNA, 253 nt
Filed under: uncultured bacterium
Lineage: Bacteria
Description: partial 16S ribosomal RNA
Rfam family: Bacterial small subunit ribosomal RNA
Source: RNAcentral